GAUGAACGCUGGCGGCGUGCCUAAUACAUGCAAGUCGAGCGAACAGACAAGGAGCUUGCUCCUUUGACGUUAGCGGCGGACGGGUGAGUAACACGUGGGUAACCUACCUAUAAGACUGGGAUAACUUCGGGAAACCGGAGCUAAUACCGGAUAAUAUUUCGAACCGCAUGGUUCGAUAGUGAAAGAUGGUUUUGCUAUCACUUAUAGAUGGACCCGCGCCGUAUUAGCUAGUUGGUAAGGUAACGGCUUACCAAGGCGACGAUACGUAGCCGACCUGAGAGGGUGAUCGGCCACACUGGAACUGAGACACGGUCCAGACUCCUACGGGAGGCAGCAGUAGGGAAUCUUCCGCAAUGGGCGAAAGCCUGACGGAGCAACGCCGCGUGAGUGAUGAAGGUCUUCGGAUCGUAAAACUCUGUUAUUAGGGAAGAACAUACAUGUAAGUAACUAUGCACGUCUUGACGGUACCUAAUCAGAAAGCCACGGCUAACUACGUGCCAGCAGCCGCGGUAAUACGUAGGUGGCAAGCGUUAUCCGGAAUUAUUGGGCGUAAAGCGCGCGUAGGCGGUUUUUUAAGUCUGAUGUGAAAGCCCACGGCUCAACCGUGGAGGGUCAUUGGAAACUGGAAAACUUGAGUGCAGAAGAGGAAAGUGGAAUUCCAUGUGUAGCGGUGAAAUGCGCAGAGAUAUGGAGGAACACCAGUGGCGAAGGCGACUUUCUGGUCUGUAACUGACGCUGAUGUGCGAAAGCGUGGGGAUCAAACAGGAUUAGAUACCCUGGUAGUCCACGCCGUAAACGAUGAGUGCUAAGUGUUAGGGGGUUUCCGCCCCUUAGUGCUGCAGCUAACGCAUUAAGCACUCCGCCUGGGGAGUACGACCGCAAGGUUGAAACUCAAAGGAAUUGACGGGGACCCGCACAAGCGGUGGAGCAUGUGGUUUAAUUCGAAGCAACGCGAAGAACCUUACCAAAUCUUGACAUCCUUUGACAACUCUAGAGAUAGAGCCUUCCCCUUCGGGGGACAAAGUGACAGGUGGUGCAUGGUUGUCGUCAGCUCGUGUCGUGAGAUGUUGGGUUAAGUCCCGCAACGAGCGCAACCCUUAAGCUUAGUUGCCAUCAUUAAGUUGGGCACUCUAAGUUGACUGCCGGUGACAAACCGGAGGAAGGUGGGGAUGACGUCAAAUCAUCAUGCCCCUUAUGAUUUGGGCUACACACGUGCUACAAUGGACAAUACAAAGGGCAGCGAAACCGCGAGGUCAAGCAAAUCCCAUAAAGUUGUUCUCAGUUCGGAUUGUAGUCUGCAACUCGACUACAUGAAGCUGGAAUCGCUAGUAAUCGUAGAUCAGCAUGCUACGGUGAAUACGUUCCCGGGUCU
RNAcentral lists this ribosomal RNA (1372 nucleotides) under uncultured bacterium. RNAcentral describes it as "bacterial SSU rRNA". It matches the Rfam family "Bacterial small subunit ribosomal RNA", at positions 28 to 1381 of the family's 1533-position model. The record is from RNAcentral.